Molecule: ribosomal RNA, 481 nt
Filed under: uncultured Buttiauxella sp.
Lineage: Bacteria; Pseudomonadati; Pseudomonadota; Gammaproteobacteria; Enterobacterales; Enterobacteriaceae
Description: bacterial SSU rRNA
Rfam family: Bacterial small subunit ribosomal RNA
Source: RNAcentral
ACGAGCGGCGGACGGGUGAGUAAUGUCUGGGAAACUGCCUGAUGGAGGGGGAUAACUACUGGAAACGGUAGCUAAUACCGCAUAACGUCUUCGGACCAAAGAGGGGGACCUUCGGGCCUCUUGCCAUCAGAUGUGCCCAGAUGGGAUUAGCUAGUAGGUGAGGUAAUGGCUCACCUAGGCGACGAUCCCUAGCUGGUCUGAGAGGAUGACCAGCCACACUGGAACUGAGACACGGUCCAGACUCCUACGGGAGGCAGCAGUGGGGAAUAUUGCACAAUGGGCGCAAGCCUGAUGCAGCCAUGCCGCGUGUAUGAAGAAGGCCUUCGGGUUGUAAAGUACUUUCAGCGAGGAGGAAGGCAUUGUGGUUAAUAACCGCAGUGAUUGACGUUACUCGCAGAAGAAGCACCGGCUAACUCCGUGCCAGCAGCCGCGGUAAUACGGAGGGUGCAAGCGUUAAUCGGAAUUACUGGGCGUAAAGCGC